Molecule: long non-coding RNA, 2844 nt
Filed under: Equus caballus (horse)
Lineage: Eukaryota; Metazoa; Chordata; Mammalia; Perissodactyla; Equidae
Description: lncRNA (ENSECAG00000053803.1)
Source: RNAcentral
UUAAAAGUUGAUUUAUUGAAUACUUGUAAAUAAAAGAAAAUUAAGUAGAUUUACAAAUCAUUUGCUUUUCUCACCUAACAUCUUUUUAAGAUAAUUUGCCUCCUCAUAACCACAUAUAUAUGAUUUUAAAAAUCAAAAGAUAAUAUGAAACCAGCUAUUCAGGACAAGUUUUUUACAAUAUAUAGCACUCCUCGGCCUAAAAAACAUUUUUAAACAUAAGUAUUGCCAAAUUAUCUCCUAUUUAAAACUGUGCCACAGAGUUUUUCAUGAGUUCAAUUUAUCUUACUCAAGAAAGUAUUAUAAACAAAAUAAACAUUUAAGCUAAAAAGUUCACACAUCAGCGAUCACUGAUUGAGAUUAACACUAUGAAGUAACAUAAGUAAUAAUUGUUUUAGAGAAAUACCAGAGUUUUAUGUGAUUGCUCAUUAUAAUUUAAAAUGAUGCUACAGGGAAUGUAAUCUUGGCUUGCUAACUUUUUCUUAAUUGAGUAUGUGAAUAUGAAUACCUAAUAAUGCAGUGCAAGUAAAUAAUAGCCUGCAAUAUGGGUGAAUUUAAUAGCUUAAAAUGGUGCACAUUCUAAGGGCAUAUAAUUCUUGUUUUAUAAUUAUUGACAGUAUUUUAUACUAAGAUCAAAACCAAGAUAAUUUUUGUGCUUUGAUCUUUGAAAUUGAUUUUAAGAUUCCACUGUUAAAUUAGAAGAUGCUUAUGGGAAAUGUUACCAAAAUUAUUUUUUUAUGAGAAAAUAGAAAUAAUCAUGCAAAUUUUGAGUUUGUAACUCUGUUGCCUUAGACUUGUGACCUAAAGUUUAACGAUAAAAUGGAGAAGAUAUCAGCCUGCCUGAUUUGGUGAUAAAGAGCUGUUCAGAGCAUCUAGCUUCAAAGCAUUUAGUCUUUUCCUAACUGAAUGCUUCCUUACUGUUGGUCAUCAAUAUAACACAAUUUUAUUGGUUAUUUACUUUAAUUUGAAACUUAGAGGAGGCUGUAAAAAUAAAAAGACAGAUUCUUAUAAUACGUAAAAUAUAGUUUUUAGGAAAUUCUGGAGCCUCAAUGACUGUAUUUGGUUUUGGUUAUUUUUACCAUAAUCAUAAUACCUGAAAUAUAUGUUUUGUUGUGUGUAAUUAUGCAUGGAGUAAUUUCUCACUACAGAACACUACUUUGGAAUGGGUAAUGAUGGAGGGUUAGUUAGAACAAGUGAUGUCAGAAUUUUAGAAUAAUUUUAAAGAGAUGAAUUUACUACUUACAACUACAUUUAUAAAAAAUUAGUUGUGUUUGUCUUGUUUUCCCUAAUAAAUUUUGUGCUCCUGAAGACAGGUAAGCCAAUACAUAGCAUCAUAUCUAGAAUAGGGGAAAUACUCAAUAAAUGUUUGACUGAAAAAAUGAAUAGUGAAUUGUCUAUUGACUAAAACGUUAUUCCCUUUAACAAAUACAUAAGAACAGUUUUUAAAAGGCACAACGACGUUAAAAUAUCUCUUUUACAACUUUACAUUUGCGUAUUACAUCAUACACUUUUCAAAAUAAGUUGACACAUCUUACUGUGUUUAAUCCUCAUAAUGAACCCUGGUGUCGAAAAGGCCUUAUUAUUAUUUUUUUCGCAAAUAAGGAAACUGCAACUCUAAGAGGUAAAGUGACUUGAUGAUAACAAACCAGUUAUAUCACAGCUGGAAUCCAUGUCAUUUAACUUAUUUUUGCGUGACAUCUUUUCUAUUCAUAAACACUCUUUAAAUUACUAAAUUUAAGCCUGUCAUAUGAUUCUCUUGUUUUGGUUCUACUGUCUAUUGCUUUUAGAUAAUAUUUUCUCAACCCUUUUAUUUAUUCUUACUUUCUAUUCUAAAUUCCUGUGCACACUUUUAAUUAUAAAUUCAACAGAAAUUAGAAUGGAAUAAUUUCCUGUUAUCUUCCUGCUGUAACAUCACAAAAGUGUAUUACUAAGAUGAAUUUAAGAAUAUGGAAGUUUCCACUUGAGGCAAUAUGGCAGACUAGAUGUCCUAGUACAAAAUGAACAGGCUAUGCUGUGGCAGGCAGGAAAUAAAGUCUAGGGCCAAAGUUGGUGUGUGUGUGUGCAUGAAGUCCAAGACCUCAGCACAAAGCCAAGAACUUGCAAAGGCAACAUCCUUAGUAGAUGAACUAGAAAGAAACCUUGCUCCACAGAGUAAGACUGGGUAUACUUGCUUGUCUCAGCGACGGCUCUCGGUGAAGGAGGAAAAAACCCUAGAAAGUCCCUUCUGUCUAUUCCUAAUCAUAGGAUUGCACUGUAGCUGAUUUAGGGCUAGAACCCACCCUACCUAUGUGGCUCCUAGCCCCAUCCCUCAUCGCCUCUUGAAAUACUCAAGCUGAAAAUUUAGUGAUCUGAAUUUGAUAGCAACAUCAGCAGUCAGACAAAAGCAAACGCAAAUUCUCUCCAGAGGAAUAUUUUAAACUCAGGUCUUAAAAAUUUCCAGAGAUAAAAUUCCAAGGAACAUAGGCGUAGUAAAGAAGCCAUCCUGAGUAAAAGAAAAACAAACAAACAACAGAAUCAGACCCACCAAACACUGAUGAUUUGGAAAUCUCAAAUAUAGACUAUAAAACAGGUUUCUUAACUAUUUCAAGAAAUGAAGGAGGAUAUUGAGUGUAUGAUGAAGGAACAAGAUAUUAUUCAAAAUAACAAGGCAGAUAUGAAGAAAAAAGAACUCUCAAACUGAAAACGUAAUAAUUGAAUUUAGCAAACUCAGUGGAAUUGAAAACCUGAAAGCUGACAAAUUGGCAGUUGGCACUCUGACUCAAAAUCAACCCUGGAGACCCCACAGAAGGGAGAGGGUCUUAAGGGUCUGAGGACGGAACAGAACAAAUCUAAACCAUCUCAGAGAAC